This 440-nucleotide ribosomal RNA is filed under the name uncultured bacterium. Its description in RNAcentral is "partial 16S ribosomal RNA". It matches the Rfam family "Bacterial small subunit ribosomal RNA", at positions 338 to 795 of the family's 1533-position model. The record is from RNAcentral.
CCUACGGGAGACAGCAGUGGGGGAUAUUGCACAAUGGGGGGAACCCUGAUGCAGCGACGCCGCGUGGGUGAAGAAGCGCCUCGGCGCGUAAAGCCCUGUCAGCAGGGAAGAAAAUGACGGUAACUAAAGAAGAAGCCCCGGCUAACUACGUGCCAGCAGCCGCGGUAAUACGUAGGGGGCAAGCGUUAUCCGGAUUUACUGGGUGUAAGGGGGGCGCAGACGGCGAUGCAACCCAGGAGUGAAAGCCCGGGGCCCAACCCCGGGACUGCUCUUGGAACUGCGUGGCUGGAGUGCAGGAGGGGCAGGCGGAAUUCCUGGUGUAGCGGUGAAAUGCGUAGAGAUCAGGAGGAACACCGGUGGCGAAGGCGGCCUGCUGGACUGCAACUGACGUUGAGGCGCGAAAGCGUGGGGAGCAAACAGGAUUAGAUACCCGAGUAGUC